This 116-nucleotide ribosomal RNA is filed under the name Salmonella enterica. The record is from RNAcentral. Lineage: Bacteria; Pseudomonadati; Pseudomonadota; Gammaproteobacteria; Enterobacterales; Enterobacteriaceae.
CCUGGCGGCACUAGCGCGGUGGUCCCACCUGACCCCAUGCCGAACUCAGAAGUGAAACGCCGUAGCGCCGAUGGUAGUGUGGGGUCUCCCCAUGCGAGAGUAGGGAACUGCCAUGC